AGGAUGAACGCUGGCGGUCUGCUUAACACAUGCAAGUCGAACGGAGUAGAAAUACUUAGUGGCGGACGGGUGAGUAACGCGUGAGAAUCUACCUUCAGGACGGAGACAACAGUUGGAAACGACUGCUAACCCCCGAUGUACUGAAAAGGCAAAUAUUUAUAGCCUGAAGAAGAGCUCGCGUCCGAUUAGCUAGUUGGAGAGGUAAAAGCUCACCAAGGCGACGAUCGGUAGCUGGUCUGAGAGUACGAUCAGCCACACUGGGACUGAGACACGGCCCAGACUCCUACGGGAGGCAGCAGUCGGGAAUUUUGCUCAAUGGGCGCAAGCCUGAAGCAGCAACGCCGCGUGAGGGAUGAAGGCCUUCGGGUUGUAAACCUCUUUUAUCAGGGACGAUUAUGACGGUACCUGAUGAAUAAGCCACGGCUAACUACGUGCCAGCAGCCGC
RNAcentral lists this ribosomal RNA (445 nucleotides) under uncultured bacterium. RNAcentral describes it as "SSU rRNA". It matches the Rfam family "Bacterial small subunit ribosomal RNA", at positions 26 to 518 of the family's 1533-position model. The record is from RNAcentral.